GACUAAAUUCAACGGCCGCGGUAUCCUAACCGUGCGAAGGUAGCGUAAUCACUUGUUUUUUAAAUGAAGACUAGUAUGAAUGGCACCACGAGGGUUAUACUGUCUCCUUUUUUUAAUCAAUGAAACUGAUCUCCCCGUGAAGAAGCGGGGAUAUUUAUAUAAGACGAGAAGACCCUAUGGAGCUUUAAACAAUUAUAGCACUGGCCCACACUUCUUAUUCUCCUGAGACAUAAUUAUUAUAUAGACCAACAUGACUAUUAGUUUUAGGUUGGGGUGACCACGGAGCAAAAAAUAACCUCCAUGUUGAACGGAGCUACUCCUGAGCUAAAAGCUACAACUUUAAGCACCAACAAACUGACAUCAAUUGACCCAACAUGUUGACCAACGAAUCAAGUUACCCUAGGGAUAACAGCGCAAUCCAUUUCAAGAGCUCCUAUCGACAAAUGGGUUUACGACCUCGAUGUUGGAUCAGGGUAUCCCAGUGGUGCAGCCGCUACUAAAGGUUCGUUUGUU
Molecule: ribosomal RNA, 513 nt
Filed under: Dendropsophus anataliasiasi (Goias treefrog)
Lineage: Eukaryota; Metazoa; Chordata; Amphibia; Anura; Hylidae
Description: partial large subunit ribosomal RNA
Rfam family: Bacterial large subunit ribosomal RNA
Source: RNAcentral